AACGCAAGUGGAUUCAAAUGCAUCAAAUUUCUAUGUUGGUGCGGUUUGUGAUACUGAAGCUGACAAGUAAAUCAUAACUACCGGUAAAAGAAAACAAAAAUACUGUACCAAUAGAUGGUUAAAGCCCCAUUUGUUUUGGAGGAAGUUUACAUGUGUCUCCUCUCCUUUGCGCAUGCGCAAAGCAGUUCAAGCGGCACAUACAAAACAAGUUAGAGGAUAAAGGGGCGAAUGGAACGGCCACAGACUGUGCAUCUAUCUUCCAAAAGGUCAACUUUGAUGCAAAUAACGUUUACGGAAUGUGGGAGGAAACCAGAAUACCCAGAGAAAACCCAUGCAAGCACGGGGAGAACAUGCAAACUGCACACAGGAAGGCCG
Molecule: long non-coding RNA, 375 nt
Organism: Hippocampus zosterae (dwarf seahorse)
Lineage: Eukaryota; Metazoa; Chordata; Actinopteri; Syngnathiformes; Syngnathidae
Exons: 3
Source: RefSeq, a predicted model, not a curated record